GACGAACGCUGGCGGCGUGCCUAACACAUGCAAGUCGAACGGAAAGGCCCUGCUCUUGUGGGGUUCUCGAGUGGCGAACGGGUGAGUAACACGUGAGUAACCUGCCCUUGACUUUGGGAUAACUUCACGAAACUGGGGCUAAUACAGCAUAGGAGCUCCUGCUGCAUGGUGGGGGUUGGAAAGUUUCGGCGGUUGGGGAUGGUCUCGCGGCUUAUCAGCUUGAUGGUGAGGUAGUGGCUUACGAAGGCUUUGACGGGUAGCCGGCCUGAGAGGGGAGCCGGGGACAAUGGGACUGCGAUAGGCACCAGACGGGAACGGGCGGCAGCGGGGGAGAGUAUUACGCAGUGGGCGGGAGCCAGAUACAGCGGCGCCGGGUGCGGAAUAACCGCCUUCGGGGUGUAAACAGCUUUCGCCUGAGACGAAGCGUGAGUGACGGUACUGGGUAAGGAAGCACCGGCUAACUACGUG
This 468-nucleotide ribosomal RNA is filed under the name uncultured bacterium. RNAcentral describes it as "partial 16S ribosomal RNA". It matches the Rfam family "Bacterial small subunit ribosomal RNA", at positions 28 to 507 of the family's 1533-position model. The record is from RNAcentral.